RNAcentral lists this ribosomal RNA (463 nucleotides) under uncultured bacterium. RNAcentral describes it as "partial 16S ribosomal RNA". It matches the Rfam family "Bacterial small subunit ribosomal RNA", at positions 28 to 507 of the family's 1533-position model. The record is from RNAcentral.
GACGAACGCUGGCGGCGUGCUUAACACAUGCAAGUCGAACGGAAAGGCCUUUUCGGAGGUACUCGAGUGGCGAACGGGUGAGUAACACGUGGGUGAUCUGCCCUGCACUCUGGGAUAAGCCUGGGAAACUGGGUCUAAUACCGGAUAGGACCGCACUUUAGUGUGUGUGGUGGCAAGUUGUUUCGGUGUAGGAUGAGCCCGCGGCCUAUCAGCUUGUUGGUGGGGUAAUGGCCUACCAAGGCGGCGACGGGUAGCCGGACUGAGAGGUUGGUCGGCCACAUUGGGACUGAGAUACGGCCCAGACUCCUACGGGAGGCAGCAGUGGGGAAUAUUGCACAAUGGGCGCAAGCCUGAUGCAGCGACGCCGCGUGGGGGAUGACGGCCUUCGGGUUGUAAACGCCUUUCGCCAGGGACGAAGCGUUUUGUGACGGUACCUGGAGAAGAAGCACCGGCUAACUACGUG